This 253-nucleotide ribosomal RNA is filed under the name uncultured bacterium. Its description in RNAcentral is "partial 16S ribosomal RNA". It matches the Rfam family "Bacterial small subunit ribosomal RNA", at positions 524 to 776 of the family's 1533-position model. The record is from RNAcentral.
UACGUAGGGCGCAAGCGUUGUCCGGAAUUAUUGGGCGUAAAGAGCUCGUAGGCGGUCUGUCGCGUCGGAUGUGAAAGCCCGAGGCUUAACCCCGGGUCUGCAUUCGAUACGGGCAGACUAGAGUGUGGUAGGGGAGAUCGGAAUUCCUGGUGUAGCGGUGAAAUGCGCAGAUAUCAGGAGGAACACCGGUGGCGAAGGCGGAUCUCUGGGCCAUUACUGACGCUGAGGAGCGAAAGCGUGGGGAGCGAACAGG